This 484-nucleotide ribosomal RNA is filed under the name uncultured bacterium. RNAcentral describes it as "bacterial SSU rRNA". It matches the Rfam family "Bacterial small subunit ribosomal RNA", at positions 30 to 528 of the family's 1533-position model. The record is from RNAcentral.
AUUGAACGCUGGCGGCAUGCCUUACACAUGCAAGUCGAACGGUAACAGCACUUCGGUGGCUGACGAGUGGCGAACGGGUGAGUAAUACAUCGGAACGUGCCCGAGAGUGGGGGAUAACGCAGCGAAAGCUGUGCUAAUACCGCAUACGAUCUACGGAUGAAAGCAGGGGACCGCAAGGCCUUGCGCUCAUGGAGCGGCCGAUGGCAGAUUAGGUAGUUGGUGGGAUAAAAGCUUACCAAGCCGACGAUCUGUAGCUGGUCUGAGAGGACGACCAGCCACACUGGGACUGAGACACGGCCCAGACUCCUACGGGAGGCAGCAGUGGGGAAUUUUGGACAAUGGGCGAAAGCCUGAUCCAGCCAUGCCGCGUGCAGGAUGAAGGCCUUCGGUUGUAACCUACUGUCAUUAGGAAGAAGAAAGUAGACGGUACCUAAUGAGGAAGACCCGGCCGUAACUAACGUGCCAGCAGCCGCGGUAAGUCUGU